RNAcentral lists this long non-coding RNA (649 nucleotides) under Vigna radiata. RNAcentral describes it as "long non-coding RNA (VRAD_LNC004365)". The record is from RNAcentral. Lineage: Eukaryota; Viridiplantae; Streptophyta; Magnoliopsida; Fabales; Fabaceae.
ACCUGGUAGGAAAAAGAAAAUGAUGUUACAGAAAAGAAACCGAAAGAAAAACAGUAUCAACACAACACAUUGCAAACAUCAAACUCAAGACAAUCCAACUCUCACAUUUCAAAGAUCUCUACAGGAAUCCACCCAAAAACAACCACCCAGUAGCGUAUUCGGGCAUUUUAACAAAUACCCAUGAAAAAACCGCAUCAAAGAUUUCAUCUUUCAAUGAAUCGAAAGAAAACUCACCGACAAAUAUCAGAAAAGAAAAAACCUUUGAAAGGGUGCUUCUAGGAAAAUUUCACAGAGACAAUAGAGAACCUAUGGCAUUGAAUUGCUGAGCAAAACAGUAGCGAAGAAUCUUCACAUACUUGUGAAGAGGGAAAGAGAGAGAUAGGCUGGGUUGAAGUGAAAAUGCAAAAUGCCUGGUAUGUUUAAAGACAAAUUUUGCAUCAGCAUGUCAGAUACAGAAAGUUGAAAGAGGAAAUAAUCCUGUGCAAUCGUUACUAUUCAAGAUUCCUUUAAAAUGGUUUUGUAUACGAUCAUCCUGUAACACACAGUCUCUGUGAUGUGAUCUCACCAGUAUCGUGACUUGUGAGGAGCGUUACGUAAAAUUCUGUCAGAACAAAAGUCGAAGUAAACUAGUUCGCCACGUCAGCACCCU